This is a non-coding RNA of Poecilia reticulata (guppy), 4234 nucleotides long. NCBI's taxonomy places the organism in Eukaryota, Metazoa, Chordata, Actinopteri, Cyprinodontiformes, Poeciliidae. The record is from RefSeq and is a predicted model, not a curated record.
UCUCCAUUUUUUAGUCCCUCACGAGGGAUGGUGCGUGAUGGUCCUUUUCUGUCAUCUCCAUUUUUUAGUCCCUCACGAGGGAUGGUGCGCGACGAUCCUUUUCUGUCAUCCGUUGUCUUCAGUCCCUCACCCUUGACAUACUGGGAGGAUCCCAUUUUGUCACCCUGUGUCUUCAGUCCUUCACUUGAGAUUUCAUGGGAUGAUCCCAUUCUGACAUUCCCUGUCCUCAGUCCCUUACCAUCAAUACAGUGCAAAGAUCCAACUUUGUCAUCCCCUGCCUUCUGUUUCUGGAUGGACUCUGAAGAUGACAUAGAAGAGGAAUCAAUUCCUUCAACAUCUGACGGAACUAGAGAGAGUUUCAGACAAUUGUGGUUUAGACCUCACUACCACUUGUCAAGUGACUCUGAUUAGAUUGGGAUCUUGAAAAACUGAAGGCCUACCUGGGAAGUCACAUUAGGACAUUAUCAUUUCUCUGUUUUAUUUUUGUUUGUUUUUUAAAAGACAAUAGCUUUCUAGCAGGCCUGAUGAUGCCUUAGGUAAUUGCACCGGAGCUUUUUCUUAUCCUGCUGCUAGAUUGUGUAUUUUAGAUGUUAAGGAUUCUAGCAGGCUUGAGGAUGCCUUAGGUAAUUGCACCGGAGCUUUUUCUUAUCCCGCUGCUAGAUUGAUGACUUUUGAUGUUAAGGAUUCUAGCAGGACCGAGGAUGCCUUAGGUAGUGUCUUGCACCAGGGCUUUUCUUUAUCCCGCUGCUGGAUUUUUCACUUUAGAUGCUAAGGAUUCUGGCAGGACUGAGGAUGUCCUAGGUAGCGUCUUGCACCGGGGCUUUUCUUUAUCCUGCUGCUGGAUUUUGUAUUUUACAUUUUAAGGAUUCUGAUUAAAAAGGCAAUAAAGUAUUUUUUUCUGUUUAAUCAAACAAUGACCCAAUGCUGGAGAAGGAAAAUUAAAAUUUCUGAGGAAUGAGGCCAUACUGCUGAACAAAACAAACACUAAAAGGAGUUGGAUAUCACUGGUGCAUAAAAGAAAAAUGCUAAAAGGAACAAGACAACACUAAAUCUAAAACGUUCUUGCUGAGUAAAAAUUAAACCUCAAAAGGAUUGCGAUAACGCGACUCGGGGCACUGGAAUCAACACAAUUGAGACAACACUGCUGCAACUUAAGCGCUUUAAAAUUGAAACAAUGUUUCUGGCACGUUCGAAUUUUUAAGACAUGAAAAAACACUAAAAGGGACACAAUAUAAUCAGUUGAGCUGUGGUAUAAACAGUUGUAAAGCUAUAACACAAUUCCUAGAUGUCAUAAAAUCCACAGUGAGAUAGGUAUUUUUUUUUAGGUAAGAAACAACAACUGCAGGAACAGUAACAAUGAAAGUCCACAUGUUAGGCUCAGGUGAUAAUACUUUUAAAAGUAGGUAAUGCUGCAGGGUGUCGAAUCUAAAAUCUCUAAGCACUGAGAAGAGACAACAAUUUUCGGGACAAAUUCAACUCUUUAAAAAUAGAGUACAAUACUUUUGCGGACAAAUCUUUCAAGUUGUGAGAUGGCUGAGAUGCCGUCAUGGUGGACAAGCUAAAAUGUAGAGGAAUUAACCCUGCGGAGCAUAACAUAAAACCUAUAAGGAUAAAAGGAAAAGACGGUGAUAAAUAUUUGGUUCCCAAAGGCACCAAAGGCUUGUACCACCAUAAACAUAUUAUGAGGACCACCAGGAGGUGCAGUCACCAAAAGUAUCAGUCUCAGACGGAGCAGCUCCCAGUGAGACGGCUUCUUCCAAGAUUCUCUCUGUCUCUGGUAUGAGGACUUGGAGAUCUGUCUGUCAGUCACUUUUGUCUUCUGUUUCGCUCUUUGUGUUUUUCUCUCUACUCUCCCAAGUUUCAGGGUGUAACAGUGGGGCUUCCCCACACGGUGCCCUCCAAGAUAGCAAAUUGUUUUCACCUGUUCUUCCACUAAUCCACUCUCCCAGUUUUAAUCUUUCAGGUUUUAGCUGCUCACCGUUGGAUUCUUUUGUCGCCGUCCAUGUGGUUCCUGUCCUCCUGUAUGUUUUUCAUACUGCUUGCAAGUUUUUGCAUUCCUCACUCACAUCAUACUGCUUGGCUCCUGCUGGCAAUGGGGAGCCAUCAGCUUCACUAAAUAAAAAUGUGUAGAAAGAAAUUUACAAUUAGUAGAAGGUGUCCUCCGUAGAGACUUAAAAUUUAAGUAAGGAAUGUUUGCCUGACCAUUUUGUAUCAAUACCACAUUACAGCAAUGGACCAAUAAGAAAGGAGAAGACAAAGGAGAACAUAGACAGAAUUUAUGAUUAGGGAUUUAAUUAAUGGCUUUUAUUCAGAGGGACACUAGAGAACAGGAUCAAAGGGAAUGAAAUAGAGAGCAUGUGGAGUAAAGUUUUAUGAAGAUAAACUAUUAAUCUCAUGAAACAAAUAGUUUAUAUGGCCAUUAGCAUGUUUAUGGGUUGCAACAUAGAAAGAUCACAAAAACAGAAUAGACAUAAAAUAAUAGAGAAAAUAGUCUGAUCCCAGAUUGAAAUUCUGCAAAUCAAUAAUGUCUCUGAUCAUUCCAGGUUGGAUCUCCUGAACUACUAUAAUCCUCCACCUUCAGCACCACCAGUCAGGUGGAGGAAGAUAAGAGAACCCAGUUGACAAAAACAGUAAGAAAACUUAUUUUUACCCAGCUAACAAUUUUAAAUAUGGAUGAAACUGAGGUUCUUUCUUCUGUCCAUGUAUAUUCUCUUCUUUUGGCCCUGUUGUCUUUUCUCUGUGUUUCCUUUCUCCAUGAACUCAUGUCACAUGAUUUGAGUUGACCAACCCCUAGAGCAGGUUACUUCCUCCAUCUGCUGAUCUACUGGUUGUAGCAGAUUGUGGAGAGGCGAGGACGCGACGAUGACUUGAUCUGAUAUGGUGGCCGACAGGAGCAAACUCACAGCAAACAGGUAUCCAGUGCAGCUACAUUGAAUAAACUGCAUCAGUCGGUUGACAGACAGGCCAGCAUCUUACAAACUGCUGGAUGCUUUCAGCUUCCUGUGAGUGUCGGUGACAAAGAGAAUAUUGUGAAGAACUUCAUACAUUCAUUUACCGCAAUCAUUUCUCUAUUCAAAGAUUCAAGGUUGCCCUUUCAACCCUGGAUUUUGUUUAUGCUUUGGAGCCGCGUGCUUCCAGGUUCAGGCCCUUUAUGUGCACAUGUGCGGAAAAGCUGACAUCAGAAGUUUUAGAGAUGGAGACAACAUAAUCCCACACUCUGCCAGAAAUAACUAAAGUCCAGAGUGAAGAUGGCAUCACUUAUCUUGCUUGUUUGAAAGAACGUGCAGAAUAUCUGUUGCUGCCAAUCCCAGUGUGAAUGGCUGAAGACCCACAGACGUUUGUGGAAUGUUGACCGUUCCAGAUCCAGACCAAAUCCAGAGGAACGGCGCUCACCAUGCCAUAGAUUUGUUCGAACAAUAGCUGUGUGUGGCAAGCAAAUUCCCAGCCUACUUGCAAGUAUGGAACGCAAGCUGGGGACUUUCUGUGGCAUAAUUCAUAAUAGCAUAAUUCUGUCUGGCAACAACGAUGCCCGAGUUGCACUGCUGUUCAGGUUUAUGAAUAUGGGAGCAGUGGAUCAGUCAACCUUUGUCAAAAUGCAAGACAGUUACUGCGUUGACACUAUCAAAGAAUUUUGGGACAACCACAAGUCUGGUUAUUGUUCUCUACCAUAGAUGUCCAGUGCAGCGACGUUGAAUGAACUACAUCAGUCAGUUGACAGACAGGUCAGCAUCUUACAAACUGCUGGUUGCUUUCAGCUCCCACAGAGCUGAAGYAGUUUCCAGACUGCAGUYACAGGAUAAUGUUGUAGUACUUGUUAUGGGUKAAUGGACCCAGCCCUGGGUUUUGUGCUCAGUCCUGCAUCUACACCGUCAUGGAAAAGGACACUAAAUAAAUUGUAUCCAUAGUAAACAUUGACAAGCGUGAGACGCAGAGGAGUUCUGUGAUUCUGGAGAGGGAAGGCUUUAUCGCUUUAUCAGAAGCUUUGACCAGCUACACCCGGAAGUUAAACUUGCUGAAAUAUGCACAGAUGCACAUUCACAGAUAUCUGCUCUGUUUAUCAAUGGAAAAUACAAGGACAGUGAAGUGCUACACACUUUAGACAUGUGGCAUGGUUCUAACAACCUGGGCAAAAAGAUCCAUUCAGCAGGGCAGCAAAGAGGUUGUUCCAUUCUUCUGCMGUGGAACAAGGAGAUCUGCAAUCAUUUUUGAUUCUGCWGCAAGACCUGUGACGACU